UACGGAGGAUCCGAGCGUUACCCGGAUUUAUUGGGUUUAAAGGGAGCGUAGGUGGAUUGUUAAGUCAGUUGUGAAAGUUUGCGGCUCAACCGUAAAAUUGCAGUUGAAACUGGCAGUCUUGAGUACAGUAGAGGUGGGCGGAAUUCGUGGUGUAGCGGUGAAAUGCUUAGAUAUCACGAAGAACUCCGAUUGCGAAGGCAGCUCACUAGACUGCAACUGACACUGAUGCUCGAAAGUGUGGGUAUCAAACAGG
This 253-nucleotide ribosomal RNA is filed under the name uncultured bacterium. RNAcentral describes it as "partial 16S ribosomal RNA". It matches the Rfam family "Bacterial small subunit ribosomal RNA", at positions 524 to 776 of the family's 1533-position model. The record is from RNAcentral.